UUGUCUAGAUACACGGACAAUGGAAAAUUUCCCUAUUUUCCAGUUACAACUAGUUGAAUCCGAAAUUCUGAAUACGAGUAGGUAGGUAUAAGUGAUCAAAACAACAACAACUCCAAAAUUAAUUUAGGUAGAUAAUCAGAUUAUCGUAUUCCAUAAUAACGAUUUAAAAAUCCUAAUUAUCUUUCAGAAAACCUAUAUAAACUCUGUACGUAUAAAUUUGCGCCAAUUUCGCUUUGAAAGUCGUAAACUAUUUCCAUAUACAAUUGAAGCCGAGCAUUUUGAACUUCUCAAUUUACACCAGACAUCAUUAUGAAAUUUGUUAUUGUUGCAUUAUGUUUACUCGUAUUCAUAAGCUGUGCGACUGCUGCUGUGGGGGAAAAUAGUGCUAAAUUUCAAAGUCUUGGUUUCUCAAGUUUUCCCAAACUCAGCGCUGGAAAAGGAAAAGGCAAAGGACAAGGAUCUGGGAAUGGUCAAGGAGGUGGCAGUGGCUCUGGAUUCAAAAUACCUGGAGGAUUAUUUGGUUGAUUUUUAUUUGUCAUAGUACAUAAUUAUUAUGAUUGUGAUUUAUUUAGACCAAUUACCUACCUACCUACCUAUCCAAUUUUUCUCGUAUUUUGAAGAAUAAAGUAUUUUAGACGCCUGUAA
Long non-coding RNA from Planococcus citri (citrus mealybug), 645 nucleotides. RefSeq lists it as uncharacterized. The transcript has 2 exons. The record is from RefSeq and is a predicted model, not a curated record. NCBI's taxonomy places the organism in Eukaryota, Metazoa, Arthropoda, Insecta, Hemiptera, Pseudococcidae.